GGAUGUGAGGGUGAUCUGGCUGUGACAGCUGUCGCCAGGGUUCAUCUGGCUGAUCUGGCUGGCUAGGCGGUGUCCCCUUCCUCCCUCACCGCUCUGCUCCAUGAGAGUCCCUUCUGAAGCCCCCCAUGAAGAGGAUGACCUUCCCGGAACAGAGGAAGACAGACCGGUCUUCAGCCCAGAGUAUAUGAGCAGCUGCACUCCCCUGCUCAAACGUCCAGACAAGCUCUCGAGUGCCGCUUCUUUCACUCCUCGGUUUCAUUCACCCCCGACAAAGAACAUCCCAUGAGUAACAGGACAUG
RNAcentral lists this small nuclear RNA (299 nucleotides) under Rattus norvegicus (Norway rat). RNAcentral describes it as "7SK RNA". It matches the Rfam family "7SK RNA". Rfam says of the family: 7SK was discovered as an abundant small nuclear RNA in the mid-70s but a possible function has only recently been suggested. Two independent studies have found that 7SK RNA binds the CDK9/cyclin T complex (known as elongation factor P-TEFb). The record is from Rfam by way of RNAcentral. Lineage: Eukaryota; Metazoa; Chordata; Mammalia; Rodentia; Muridae.